Molecule: long non-coding RNA, 179 nt
Organism: Sebastes umbrosus (honeycomb rockfish)
Lineage: Eukaryota; Metazoa; Chordata; Actinopteri; Perciformes; Sebastidae
Exons: 3
Source: RefSeq, a predicted model, not a curated record
UUGUGUGUGUGUGUGUUGGACAGAGAGGGGAAGAGAAGGUGGAAGGUGACAAAAAUAAAGAGAGAUUUUGGUAAAGUUUUUACGUUUUUAAACAAGAUAUUAGUCUCGUCUUUUUUCGUCUAUGAUAUUGCAUGUUUUACAUCGUCAGCGUUAGUGUUUAAUGACAUCGGUGCCGAUUC